RNAcentral lists this ribosomal RNA (275 nucleotides) under uncultured prokaryote. RNAcentral's name for it is "partial 16S ribosomal RNA". It matches the Rfam family "Bacterial small subunit ribosomal RNA", at positions 524 to 798 of the family's 1533-position model. The record is from RNAcentral.
UACGGAGGAUCCGAGCGUUAUCCGGAUUUAUUGGGUUUAAAGGGUGCGCAGGCGGGGGAUUAAGUCGGCGGUGAAAUUUUGCAGCUCAACUGUAAAAGUGCCUUCGAAACUGGUUUCCUUGAGUGUAGAUGAAGUAGGCGGAAUUUGUGGUGUAGCGGUGAAAUGCAUAGAUAUCACGAGGAACUCCGAUUGCGCAGGCAGCUUACUAAACUACUACUGACGCUCAGGCACGAAGGCGUGGGGAUCAAACAGGAUUAGAUACCCCUGUAGUCCCU